RNAcentral lists this ribosomal RNA (497 nucleotides) under uncultured bacterium. RNAcentral's name for it is "partial 16S ribosomal RNA". It matches the Rfam family "Bacterial small subunit ribosomal RNA", at positions 28 to 507 of the family's 1533-position model. The record is from RNAcentral.
GAUGAACGCUGGCGGCGUGCCUCAUACAUGCAAGUCGAGCGAACAGACGAGGAGCUUGCUCCUCUGACGUUAGCGGCGGACGGGUGAGUAACACGUGGAUAACCUACCUAUAAGACUGGGAUAACUUCGGGAAACCGGCGCUAAUACCGGAUACUAUAUUGAACCGCAUGGUUCCAUAGUGAAAGACGGUUUUGCUGUCACUUAUAGAUGGAUCCGCGCCGCAUUAGCUAGUUGGUAAGGUAACGGCUUACCAAGGCAACGAUGCGUAGCCGACCUGAGAGGGGGAUCGGCCACACUGGAACUGAGACACGGUCCAGACUCCUACGGGAGGCAGCAGUAGGGAAUCUUCCGCAAGGGGCGAAAGCCUGACGGAGCAACGCCGCGUGAGUGAUGAAGGUCUUCGGAUCGUAAAACUCUGUUAGUAGGGAAGAACAAAUGUGGAAGUAACUAUGCACGUCUUGACGGUACCUAAUCAGAGAGCCACGGCUAACUACGUG